This 440-nucleotide ribosomal RNA is filed under the name uncultured bacterium. Its description in RNAcentral is "partial 16S ribosomal RNA". It matches the Rfam family "Bacterial small subunit ribosomal RNA", at positions 338 to 795 of the family's 1533-position model. The record is from RNAcentral.
CCUACGGGUGGCAGCAGUGGGGGAUAUUGCACAAUGGGGGGAACCCUGAUGCAGCGACGCCGCGUGGGUGAAGGAGCGUUUCGGCGCGUAAAGCCCUAUCAGCAGGGAAGAAAAUGACGGUACCUGACUAAGAAGCCCCGGCUAACUACGUGCCAGCAGCCGCGGUCAUACGUAGGGGGCAAGCGUUAUCCGGAUUUACGGGGUGUAAAGGGAGCGUAGGCGGCAGUGCAAGUCAGAAGUGAAAGCCCGGGGCUCAACUCCGGGACUGCUUUUGAAACUGUACAGCUUGAUUGCAGGAGAGGCAAGUGGACUUCCUAGUGUAGCGGUGAAAUGCGUAGAUAUUAGGAGGAACACCAGUGGCGAAGGCGGCUUGCUGGACUGUAAAUGACGCUGAGGCUCGAAAGCGUGGGGAGCAAACAGGAUUAGAUACCCUGGUAGUC